ACGUCGUUACUCUGCCGAAAAUUUAUUUAAAAAAAAUAAAGAAGUUUUUUUUUGAAAUUUUUUAAAUAAAUUUAGCUUAAAUUGUUCGCAUUUCGUGAAAGGAUCUUUUGGAUUUUAUAUCCACAAAAUUAUCUGUAACAGGAUAAUAAAAUAAUUAACGCCAAUUUCACAAAUUUCAACUCAAAAGUAGGCAGAAAGUGUUUUUUAUUUACCCAGCGGCAACAAAAGUCAAA
This is a long non-coding RNA of Lucilia cuprina (Australian sheep blowfly), 233 nucleotides long. RefSeq lists it as uncharacterized. The record is from RefSeq and is a predicted model, not a curated record. The transcript is spliced from 3 exons. NCBI's taxonomy places the organism in Eukaryota, Metazoa, Arthropoda, Insecta, Diptera, Calliphoridae.